GCAAAGGCCGGCUGCAUAAUUCCGAUGGCCUGCGGUUGAGGAGUGCCAUACUUCUGCUAUGUGAAGGUGAUUAUUAUUAUUAUUAUUAACGCGAGCAGGUUCAGAUUCAGCUGUACGGAUGCGCGGUGUUUAAACCGUGGGAUGGUUUGAUAUUAGGAGAGUGCAAGGUAAAGAAAGGUACAGUACUAUGAUUGUUUUAGAGCCCUUUCUUUACACACUUCCCUCCCACUCUCAAUUUACCUGCCGCCGUCUCCUUGGAGUUUAUUUAGAGAAGAUAUCUCAACGAAUCCCUGGUGGCAUUGAAAGGAACCCCAAUGAAUUCAUGUAUAAAGCAGAAUAGCUCCCCGCCCCCCGAGUUUUAGCUUUUCUCUAACCCGCUCAUAAAGUAUGCCAGAGCUCAUCAUCUAACAGGCCGGCCGGCCCAUUUUGCCCCACUCAAGGUCCGUAGCUGCUGCUGCUGCUGCUGCUGCUGGUUAGCCCGCCAACCGCUUGAAAGAUCAAGUCACCGCGAUGUCACAAAUUCAGUCCAUGCCCCGGCAGAAGUGGAAAAUCACGCGCAGUUUUGGCGGCGGUGGGUGAGCGCAAAUAACAAGUACAAUUCUUGCGCCAUUAUAUUCCCAAUUGGUUGCAUUGGCUGGGAGUGGCUGGAGUGAGGGACAAACCGGUGGACGGGGUAGCCUUCCUGCGACUUCAGAAACCCCAUCUGCUCACUUUCCCCGGGCAGUGUAAUCAACAUCCGUAUGGCAACCGGUUUGGGAUAUGAUCCCGUAUUAAAAUUGAGGUUGUCAGAGAAAUGAGAGUGAAUUAACGGCUUGCGCUCUGUCCCCUUGACCUCAAAAGUGAAGUCCCGGGCAUCUAAUUUUUAUUUAUUUAACUCUUCAUCAUCAUAUCUUCCACGAGCCGACAUGCAGGAUACUAGGAAGGACAAAGUUCACGAUGAACAAAGUUGGCCAUGACACUAGUGGUCACUAAAUCCCCCGAUCGCGGAAUCCAGCGCAUAAAUGUAUAAAAGGAUUGGGCCUUGAUAUGUUGUUGUUGUUGUUGUUCUUCAUAUUUUUUCUAAGGCCAUAUGCAGUCUGAGACUAUGACAGCCUUCACCUCACUAGCCUAGCCCUUAUGUUCGGCUACUCUCUAGUUACAUUUCUCUAUUCAUAACUGAGUCAUCCUUGAUGGAGAGACUUCACUAUACCAUUCUGGAUCUAGCCCUCAAGGGGGGCCUUGCCCCACAAUUGCUCAUGCAAUACUAAGCAGUCCCUUGUCACUUGGACUAGACAUGUAAGAAUCACAACACCUUAGGAUCCCACACUAUACUGAAUCCAUCUAGACUAUAUACAUAGUGUUGAACAUUGCUCCACCCUGCAGUGGCAGUUACCAAUAGAAAUGAGAUAAGAAAGGGUACCCCCAAUAUCCACCAAGAUGUGAUAAUAUCCUUUUGGAGAAGGUGGGAUUCGAACCCACUACCUUCUUGUCUCAGCAGUGGUGGCCCCAACACCAAGUGCCUACUUGAGAAAGCAUUCCAUGAACAGCGCUUACCACUACGCCAUCCACCCCCCCGGCCUUGAUAUGACCUGGGCGGUUUGUCCACCAACCCGACAGACUUUCCCCAAAUGCUUUCCAGUGACAUGAGGCAUGGUUGAAUUAUCGGAAUGCAUACAUCCGUACGGAGUACACCCGCAACAGAUGCGGGGUUACAUGAGGUCUCCGUGAAAGUAAACAAUUGUCAGCUUGGGCGGCAGAUAAAACGAACGGCCUGACAUUGCCAUCUUUGAAACCGAAAUAUGGCGUUAUUUAUUCUCGCG
Molecule: small RNA, 1799 nt
Filed under: Histoplasma ohiense
Lineage: Eukaryota; Fungi; Ascomycota; Eurotiomycetes; Onygenales; Ajellomycetaceae
Description: hypothetical lncRNA
Source: RNAcentral